GUGAAGAAGGACGUGAUUACCGGCGAAACGUUUCGGGGAGUUGGAAGUAAGCAUUGAUCCGAAAGUAUCCGAAUGAGGAAACUCAUAUACUUUUGACUGAAUCUAUAAGUCAAAAAGAGCGAACCUAGGGAAUUGAAACAUCUUAGUACCUAGAGGAAAAGAAAGUAAAAACGAUUUCCGGAGUAGUGGCGAACGAAAUGGAAUCAGCCUAAACUUUUCGAAUUUUUAAUUACGAAAAGGGUUGUGGGAAAAAAAAUGGAAUGACAAAUUCUAAUUCUUAAUCAACGUUUCUUUUGAAAAGAAGAGAUCAAUAAAAUUGAAUAAGAAAGAAAUUAAGUGAAUGAAUUGGAAAAUUCAACCAAAGAAAGUGAUAGUCUUGUAACUGAAAAUUUCUAAAAAAGUUUAAUCCCGAGUAGCAUGAGGCACGUGGAAUCUCGUGUGAAUCUGCGAGGACCACCUCGUAAGGCUAAAUAUUCCUGGAUGUCCGAUAGCGCAUAGUACCGCGAGGGAAAGGUGAAAAGAACCCUGGGAAGGGAGUGAAAAAGAACGUGAAAUUGUAAGCUUACAAACAGAAGGAGAACGACUUAGCGUUUGACUUCGUGCCUGUUGAAGAAUGUUCCGGCGACUUAUUGUUAGUGGCAGGUUAAGUUAGAGAUAACGAAGCCAGAGUGAAAGCGAGCUUGAAUAGAGCGUUCGUCACUAGUAAUAGACCCGAACCCGGUUGAUCUAAUCAUGGCCAGAAUGAAACUUAGGUAAAACUAAUUGGAGGUUCGAACCGACUGAUGUUGAAAAAUCAGCGGAUGAGUUGUGAUUAGGGGUGAAAUGCCAAUCGAAAUCGGAGCUAGCUGGUUCUCCCCGAAACGUAUUGAGGUGCGGCGGUUAAUGUUUUAAUGUAGGGGUAAAGCACUGUUUCGGUGCGGGCUGGUAAUUCGGUACCAAAUCGAGGCAAACUCUGAAUACUACAUGUACAAUUAACCAGUAAGACUGUGGGGGAUAAGCUUCAUAGUCAAAAGGGAAACAGCCCAGAUCACCAGCUAAGGCCCCCAAAUAUUUGCUAAGUGAUAAAGGAAGUGGGAAGGCUCUGACAACCAGGAGGUUUGCUUAGAAGCAGCAAUCCUUUAAAAAGUGCGUAAUAGCUUACUGGUCUAGCAAUUCUGCGCCGAAAACUUACGGGACUCAAGCAAAUUGCCGAAGCUGUGAGAUAAUUGAAAAAUUAUCGGUAGGGGAGCGUUCUGCGUUAGAUAGAAGUAUUAGCGAAAGCGGAUAUGGACGAGGCAGAAGUGAGAAUGUCGGAUUGAGUAGCGAAAACAUUGGUGAGAAUCCAAUGCUCCGAAAAUCUAAGGUUUCCUCCGGAAGGCUCGUCCACGGAGGGUGAGUCAGGUCCUAAGGUGAGGCUGAAAAGCGUAAUUGAUGGACAAUGGGUUAAAAUUCCCAUACAAAUUGAAAUUGGUAACGAGGGACGAAGAAGGCUAGACUAGCCAGAUAUUGGUUACUGGUUUAAAUUCUCGAGGUAAUGAGGAUUAGAGAAAAUAAUCUGAGCUAAGGAAUGAAUACAAGAUAGAAAAAUCAAAGUAGUUGAUGUCAUACUUCCAAGAAAAGCUCGCAAUGCCUUAAAUUUCAAUUUCCUGUACCCAAAACCGACACAGGUGGAUAAGUAGAGAAUACUCAGGAGCGCGGGAGAACCCUCCUUAAGGAACUCGGCAAAAUAGCUCUGUAACUUCGGAAGAAAGAGUGCCUUUAAGGCUGCAAUAUCAAGUUCCAAGCAACUGUUUAGCAAAAACACAGGUCCUGGCUAAGUGGUAACACGACGUAUCAGGGCUGACGCCUGCCCAGUGCUGGAAGGUUAAAGAAGUUGGUUAGCAUUCGCAAAGCUGAUAACUGAAGCCCCAGUGAACGGCGGCCGUAACUAUAACGGUCCUAAGGUAGCGAAAUUCCUUGUCAGGUAAAAUGAACUUGCCUGGUUAAUUUAGUGAUAAAUUAUUGUAAACCAGCUCAUAACGGUGGAGUCUAAAACAUGAAAAGAUAUGUCAUGAUAAUACCGUGGGAAGACCUAAUAAAAAGGUCCCCGUAACGACUGAUCCGAAAGGUGAGGAAUGUUUUGUAAAAAAAAAAUGUUCAAAACGCUGGCACUUAACUAUCUUUUUAAAAAGGAUAUCAGAAAUAUUAUGGAGGUUUUCUUUGAAUUCGAAAUUUUUCUAAAAUAUGGGGAAAUAGAAGGUUUUUUGUUGUUUUCUUUUUAUCCAGUCUUUUUUUCUAUUUGAAUAUAAAAAAGUAUGUCAUUUUUCAAAAAUAACAAAUGCGUUCAUCAAAUUCCAUACGUAGAUAUUUAAAUUCUAACAAUAAUUUAGAUUAUACAAGUUGGAUUUCUAGUUUCACAGAUGGAGAAGUUAGUUUUUCCAUUUCUUUUAGUAAACGAGAAUCUUUAAGAACUAAAUUGGAAGUACGACCAAGUUUUUCCAUUUCUCAAAAAGCCUCUUCAAAAGAUUGUUUGGAACGAAUGCAAAAGUAUUUUCAAUGUGGUGGUAUUUGCUAUAGUAAAAAAGAUGGGUGCUAUAAAUACGAAAUUAAAUCACUGAAAGAUCUGAAUGAAAAAAUCAUUCCAUUUUUUAGAAAACAUAAGCUUUUAACUUUUAAACAAAAUGAUUUUGAUAAGUUUGUAGAAAUAUGUUUUGAAAUGAAAAGAUCCAAUCACUUGAAUUUUCAUGGUUUAAAAAAAAUAGUUGAAUUAGCUUAUGAUAUAGAUGGUUCUAAAAACCAAAAAUAUUCAUAUGAUCAACUUAUGAAUCUAUUAAUAGAAAGAGAAAAACAAUUAAUGAACAAAUAAUUGCCAUAAACUCCUAAGAUAUUUUGUUAAGUUGAAUGUAUAGUCUGAUCAAUAUGGAAACAUAUUGCCUAACAAUAUUGAAGUUCUGACCCGCACGAAUGGCGUAAUGAUUUGGAAGCUGUCUCAAGGAGGGACUCGGUGAAAUAGAACUGGCUGUGAAGAUGCGGCCUACCUGCGCCUGGACAGUAAGACCCUAUGAAGCUUUACUGUAUCCUGAUAUUGAAUUUCGAUUUGAUCUGCGCAGAAUAGGUGGGAGACUGAGAAUCUUUCUUUCGGGAAAUGAGGAGUCAUUAGUGAGAUACCACUCUGGUCAAAUUCAAAUUCUAACUUCAUAUCGUAAGCCGGUUGAAAGACAUUAUCAGGUGGGCAGUUUGACUGGGGCGGUCGCCUACUAAAAGGUAACGUAGGCGUACAAAGGUUUCCUCAGAUCGGUCAGAAAUCGAUCUUAGAGUGCAAAGGCAAAAGGAAGCUUAACUGUGAGACAAACAAGUCGAGCAGAGACGAAAGUCGGUCUUAGUGAUCUGACGCUGCUGUGUGGAAAGGGCGUCACUCAACGGAUAAAAGUUACUCUAGGGAUAACAGGCUGAUCUCCCCCAAGAGUUCCUAUCGACGGGGAGGUUUGGCACCUCAAUUGGGGGCACAUACUUAGAAAUAAUAUGUGACAAUUUGGCUAUAUGCUGGAAACUCCGUUCAUUAAAAAUGAUGUAGUAUCCUAAAGUACUCUUGAACAUUUCAAAGUAAAAAUCUUUAGGUGCGGACAAUCAGCAGGGAAGUUUAUUAUUGAGUGAAAAAAGCGAAUAGUUUCGAAAGUGAUCUUCAAUUUUAUAACCCCUCAACGACUACACGCCGAACAACCAAAAUGGUUGAUGAUAUAGUCUGAUCUUUUAGGCGACUAAAAGGAUUUGAAUAAAAAGGAUGAAAAAUUUUUUCAAAUCAUAAAAUUUCAUCAUCUAUAUAAUAGAAAUGGAUGAUGGUGUAUUAAAAUGCGUUGCUUCGAUUUAAUGAAGAUAACAAUUUAAUGCAAAAUCUUUUCGAUUAAUUUUAUUAACAUAAUUGCGAUGUCGGCUCAUCGCAUCCUGGGGCGGUAGUACGUCCCAAGGGUUGGGCUGUUCGCCCAUUAAAGCGGUACGUGAGCUGGGUUCAGAACGUCGCGAGACAGUUCGGUCCAUAUCCGGCGUGGGCGUUGGAGUAUUGAGAGUGACCUUUUUCUAGUACGAGAAGAGCGAGAAAGAUACACCGCUAGUGUACCAGUUAUCGUGCCAACGGUACAUGCUGGGUAGCUAUGUAUAGUUAGGAUAACCGCUGAAAGCAUCU
RNAcentral lists this ribosomal RNA (4138 nucleotides) under Mallomonas sp. M19. RNAcentral's name for it is "bacterial LSU rRNA". The stretch from base 1 to 3517 matches the Rfam family "Bacterial large subunit ribosomal RNA". Lineage: Eukaryota; Synurophyceae; Synurales; Mallomonadaceae. The record is from RNAcentral.